UAUAAAGGAAUUGAACUAGCAGGAUUUCCAAUUACAAACCAAAUGCAAUCAGCCAUGGCAUGGCAUCUACAAAAGCUACUAAAGAAGACAAAAAUCACCAAAAUGUAAUCAGAAUCCCGCUCUACACCUCUGAUCACUCUAUGGAAUCUAUUAUCUACUCAAAAUGUAUGCCAGCGCUUGGGUAACGAUCGGGAAGAGCCCCAUGCAACCGAACACUAAAAUGCACCACCACCUGCAGCCUAUGCU
RNAcentral lists this unclassified non-coding RNA (246 nucleotides) under Hevea brasiliensis (rubber tree). The record is from RNAcentral. Lineage: Eukaryota; Viridiplantae; Streptophyta; Magnoliopsida; Malpighiales; Euphorbiaceae.